CCUACGGGUGGCAGCAGUGGGGAAUAUUGCACAAUGGGCGAAAGCCUGAUGCAGCAACGCCGCGUGAAGGAAGAAGGGUUUCGGCUCGUAAACUUCGAUCAACAGGGACGAAAGAAAUGACGGUACCUGAAUAAGAAGCCCCGGCUAACUACGGGCCAGCAGCCGCGGUAAUACGUAGGGGGCAAGCGUUAACCGGAAUUACUGGGUGGAAAGGGUGAGUAGGCGGCAUGGUAAGCCAGAUGUGAAAGCCUUGGGCUUAACCCGAGGAUUGCAUUUGGAACUCUCAAGCUAGAGUACAGGCGCGCCAAGCGUAAUUCCUAGUGUAGCUGUGAACUGCGUAUAUAUUAGG
RNAcentral lists this ribosomal RNA (349 nucleotides) under uncultured bacterium. Its description in RNAcentral is "partial 16S ribosomal RNA". It matches the Rfam family "Bacterial small subunit ribosomal RNA", at positions 338 to 701 of the family's 1533-position model. The record is from RNAcentral.